AUUGAACGCUGGCGGCAGGCCUAACACAUGCAAGUCGAGCGGAUGAAGGGAGCUUGCUCCUGGAUUCAGCGGCGGACGGGUGAGUAAUGCCUAGGAAUCUGCCUGGUAGUGGGGGAUAACGUCCGGAAACGGGCGCUAAUACCGCAUACGUCCUGAGGGAGAAAGUGGGGGAUCUUCGGACCUCACGCUAUCAGAUGAGCCUAGGUCGGAUUAGCUAGUUGGUGGGGUAAAGGCCUACCAAGGCGACGAUCCGUAACUGGUCUGAGAGGAUGAUCAGUCACACUGGAACUGAGACACGGUCCAGACUCCUACGGGAGGCAGCAGUGGGGAAUAUUGGACAAUGGGCGAAAGCCUGAUCCAGCCAUGCCGCGAGUGUGAAGAAGGUCUUCGGAUUGUAAAGCACUUUAAGUUGGGAGGAAGGGCAGUAAGUUAAUACCUUGCUGUUUUGACGGUACCAACAGAAUAAGCACCGGCUAACUUCGUG
RNAcentral lists this ribosomal RNA (484 nucleotides) under uncultured bacterium. RNAcentral describes it as "partial 16S ribosomal RNA". It matches the Rfam family "Bacterial small subunit ribosomal RNA", at positions 30 to 507 of the family's 1533-position model. The record is from RNAcentral.